UGCUACUGUCUGGACCACCGCGAG
This 24-nucleotide non-coding RNA is filed under the name Arabidopsis thaliana (thale cress). Lineage: Eukaryota; Viridiplantae; Streptophyta; Magnoliopsida; Brassicales; Brassicaceae. The record is from RNAcentral.